This 165-nucleotide ribosomal RNA is filed under the name Urtica trichantha. Its description in RNAcentral is "5.8S ribosomal RNA". It matches the Rfam family "5.8S ribosomal RNA". Rfam says of the family: 5.8S ribosomal RNA (5.8S rRNA) is a component of the large subunit of the eukaryotic ribosome. It is transcribed by RNA polymerase I as part of the 45S precursor that also contains 18S and 28S rRNA. The record is from RNAcentral. Lineage: Eukaryota; Viridiplantae; Streptophyta; Magnoliopsida; Rosales; Urticaceae.
CAUAACGACUCUCGGCAACGGAUAUCUCGGCUCUCGCAUCGAUGAAGAACGUAGCAAAAUGCGAUACGUGGUGUGAAUUGCAGGAUCCCGUGAACCAUCGAGUUUUUGAACGCAAGUUGCGCCCGAAGCCUUUAGGCCGAGGGCACGCCUGCCUGGGCGUCACGC